RNAcentral lists this ribosomal RNA (261 nucleotides) under uncultured archaeon. Its description in RNAcentral is "partial 16S ribosomal RNA". It matches the Rfam family "Archaeal small subunit ribosomal RNA", at positions 748 to 1009 of the family's 1478-position model. The record is from RNAcentral.
UAGCCGUAAACGAUACUCGCUAGGUGUCGGCCACGGUGCGACCGUUGUCGGUGCCGUAGGGAAGCCGUGAAGCGAGCCACCUGGGAAGUACGGCCGCAAGGCUGAAACUUAAAGGAAUUGGCGGGGAGGCACCACAAGAGGUGGAGGCUGCGGUUCAAUUGGACUCAACGCCGGAAACUACAUCGGGAGCGACAGCAGUAUGAUUGCCAGGUUGAUGACCUUGCUUGACAAGCUGAGAGGAGGUGCAUGGCGUAGUCGUGU